UUUGGACUUAAAAUUUUUGGCUUGAGUAGUAUUAGUUAUGGUCUUGAAACUUAAAGAAUUUGGCGGUAUUUUAGUCUAGUUAGAGGAAUCUGCUCCGUUAUCGAUAAUCCGCGUUGGACCUUACUUAAUAUAAUUGAAUAUGUAUACCGUCGUUUAUUGAAAAUCUUUUUAGGGGAAAAUUUUCUUAAAUUUUUAUUGAAUUUUAUUUCAGAUCAAGGUGCAGUUGAUGAUUAAGUGGAGGUGGAUUACAUUAUUUAUUAAAUAUACGGAUUAUAAUUUGAAAUGUUUUUUGAAGGUGGAUUUGAUAGUAAUUAUUAAUAAGAGCUGUUUUAUUGAUUUAKRCUCUAAAAUGUGU
RNAcentral lists this ribosomal RNA (355 nucleotides) under Panesthiinae sp. FL-2014. RNAcentral describes it as "partial 12S ribosomal RNA". Lineage: Eukaryota; Metazoa; Arthropoda; Insecta; Blattodea; Blaberidae. The record is from RNAcentral.